UUUCUUUACCAUAUACAGUAUUUAUAUUGGUUCAAGUGUGCAGUUUGAUAAGGUUUGUAUUUCCUUUGUAGCCUAUAGGAAAUUUGUUAGCCAUAUUUAAGUUAGUACAUUUUGGUAUCGUAUGUAAGCUUCGCUUUAGUUCAAUGUUAGAGUAAAUGUAUAAGGUUUUAUAUUAAUAUUCAUCCGCAGCGGGUAAGUGCGCGAGCUCAUACGGCCGUUACUCAAGCGGAAGGCUGCAGCCUCUGGAGGUCGCGUGUCUUAUUUCAGAAUAUUAACAAGUAUAAAUUUGACUAUUAUUCUUAGUUAAUCGUAAAUUGUUGUAAUAUGCUUAUGACUUGCGAAUGUAAUGCUCAGUUAACUUAAUAAACCAGGCUUGGUGACGUAUACAGCCUGCCUAUGCGACCUCCGGAGGAUGCAGCCUUCCGUUUGAGAAACGGCCUACAUGUGUACCGAGGGCGAGCGUGCACGAAAUUCUGUCUGAAUUGAUUCUUCAAUAAUGGCAAAGCAAACAUUUUCUGUCGUGAUGAUUAAACACAUUUUAAAGUUUAAAUUAAAACUCCUACCUUUCCAGGGGUUUCUGUUCCUGCAGUCUUCCAGCGACACUUCAGUCGUGUGUGUACUUGCUUGCCGCGUAUGACCAUACGGACACGAACAAUAUACCGCCACCUACUGUACUGUAGUAAAAUGACGUGUAUGAUUGAAUACGGUGGCACAGGCAGUAAAAAUAGCCCUUUUUCUCAGCCUUUAAACAUCUGACUGAUAAAUGUGUAGUGUACUACAAAAAGGUAAGUUCAGCACCAGAUCCGCUUAUGUUAUACUGUAAUGACCUCUGUGUAUGACAUGUGCUAUACAAAUAAACUUGCCUUGCCUUGUAAGAUUGAUACUGGUUUGAGAAAAACUAAGAUUUAAACAACCAAAUGUUUCCAGUGCAACAUGAAAAAACAUUGGAAAACAAUUUUCAGCCUAAGGUUAGAUAAUGUAGCCAAUGGUCCUCUAUUAAUUUUGGUACAAUGGUACAUUUCCUUUGUGUACUGCAAGCUGAACUUACCGAUUUAUAUGGACUUUACUUACAGGUUUUCUGUGCUAUGUUGCUCCAUUUCACGGAGCAAAAUAAGUCUGAGGUAGCACCAUCCUUGUGGUUUGAGUUGAACAAUGGGGGUAUUGAGACCAAAAUGAACAAUGUGCCACUCUAGACAGCUGUAGACAAAAUAUGCAUUCAGAGUAUUUUCUCAAACAGAGAGAGAAUUCCAGGCCAAAAGGACUCAACAGAGACAACAUUGUCAGUACACAAAACAAAAAGUUGGAAUGAUUAAGAAAAAUGCAUGUUUCUAUACAUAUUUUAUGUGAAUUAAUCAUUAUUGACAGUAAUUGCACAAGUGUAAGUAAAAACUUUAAAAAAAAUCCAACUGUUGAAUAUUUGAUUGUUAAAUGCUAAACGUUAAACUAAAGUGUACAUGGUCCAUGUUAAUGUUUUUAGUAUUAUUUUUUUCAUCUGAGGAGCCAGGUGAAACUAAAAGGUCACAAUAUGAUUUACUAUCAUAUUAUUAUUUCAUUCUGAUUUUUCUCCUGUUUUUUUUCUGAGUUAGAUGAGGAGCAACCAGUACAUCAAAGCAAAAAUAUGCUAUGAUAUUGUCUGAGGCACCUUAUUUUCCAUGUCCUUCACAAUCACAAAUGCAGCACACCAGUCAAUUUCUGCCAUUCAGAAGAAUCAGAAAGAAAUCUUGGAUUGGAAAAUCAUUCUGAAAGUAGACUAAAUUCAGGACAACAUCACAGCAGUGGUCGGAAAAACAUCAGUCAAUGAGCAAGCCAAGCUAACUUUCAAAAGAUGAUUUGUUAUCUGUCUUCAGAGGGACGGCAGCUUGGAGGAUGCUACAGCUACACAGGGAGAAUUUCAGCAGCUCAGUUUCAUACUUGCAACUAAUAAUGAAUAAUAGUUAGAAGACAGCGGAAAGAAUUGACAUCGCAGAGACACACACCAAGAGACACGCACACACACGCAGCUGAAGCGAGUUUGACUGACGCGCACGGGAGAUCGGG
Misgurnus anguillicaudatus (oriental weatherfish) is the source of this 2037-nucleotide non-coding RNA. NCBI's taxonomy places the organism in Eukaryota, Metazoa, Chordata, Actinopteri, Cypriniformes, Cobitidae. The record is from RefSeq and is a predicted model, not a curated record.